CGAGUACAGUUAGUCAGAGGGACAAUAGUAUAUAGUCGACAUCGCGCUGACGAUCCUCUAAAAUGGCCGAUGUUGAUGACCCGAUUGAAAUAAGUGAUGAUUCAGCCAGUAGUGAUGAAGGCAUUGUGAAAGAAAAGAAAAAGAAGCAUAAACACAAGAAACAUAAGAAGAAACAUUCCACCAGCGACAAACAUAAACACAAACACAAGCGGAAGCGUCACAAACACGACAAAGGAGACGGAGAUGAGAAGGACAAGAAGAAGCCAGGGAAGCUUGAGGAGAGUGAUCUGGAAAGGCUGGAAGCAGCACGGGCAGCAUUAAGAGCUGAACUAAAUGGGGACAGCGGUAAUGCUAUUGGUCUGGUUGCUCAGGGAUAUGGUACCGACUCUGAGGAGGAAGGAGAAAUAAAAGACUUGAGUUACACAGAGGAGCCAGGGUCGACAGGAAAACGGGCAGCGAAAGAAAGAUCUUCUAGCAAAGCAGAUGCAAAGGAUGAUAUAUUGGAUUUGAUUCGUGAAGCUAGAGAAUCACAAAGGCAUCAUCAACGUGGGGAGCGAGGUCAUGGUCGUGAUCAGAAGAAUGGGGUCAAGGAACGAGGGUCAAGGUCACCAAGUCUGACUGAGUUUGCUGAUACGUUACUCGACUCAGUUGAGGUGGGCUCCAAUAAGAGAAGGAGUUCCCCUCACAGACGAAGAGAUGGUUCUCGAGAUCGGGAACGGAGAUCUAAACGUUCUACCUCACCCUCACGCCAGCAUUCCUCCCGCGAUGAGAGACGGGACCGAGAGGGUGACAGACGAAGGGAUGAAGAAAAGAGGGCUGAAGACAGAAGAAGAGACGAAGAAAGGCGACGUGAGGAAGAUCAGCGGAGGGAAGAAGAGCGGCGGAGGGAGGUGGAGCGAAGACGGGAUAGGGAGAAGAGGGAGGAAGAACGACAUCGAAGGCUGGAAGAUGAGCGGCGUGACAGAAGGCAGGAACUUGACAGACGGAGAGAGGAUGACAGAAGGAUGAGACAUAGAAACGGGUCCAGGAGCCCCUUCAGACGGCGAGACGACCGUCGGGAUCGCAGCAGGUCUCGGGACAGGAGACGCCGCCGCGGAGAUUAUUAUUCGAAACCAACUGACAAGUUUAAGGACAGUCUCUCAGAAGGCAUGACAGUGCAGCAUGAAUCGUCUGAUGGUGAAGAACUGGACGUGGAUAUCCCCCAGGACGAGUCUGACGAGGAUGCAGAGAUAGCCAUGAGGAGGAAGAUGAGGAGAGCUCUCGUUAUGCGUUUGGGAGCAGAGUCGGACAUCCCUGGGCUAGAUGUUGCAGGUGACGAGUCUACUCCACCACCAGAAGACAAGGCUGAGGGGCAACGUGGGCACGGAAGCGACUCCUCCUCCUCGUCUGGCUUGGACAGCGAUGACGAUGAUGAGAUGGCCGACCAGGUACUGAGAGACUUGGAGGAAGAGUCGCAGGACUUCGAGAAGUCGAUGGAUGAGAAGAGGAGUGCGCUACGAGACAGCAUUACUAGUGAAAAUGGUGACAAGAAGAAGAAAUCCAAUGGCACAGCGGACAUGUUUGCUGAAGACAAUGACAUGUUCAGUGAAACCUACUCUAGUCCCGGGUUUGUGCGUCCUGUAGGCGGUGUCCAUGACAACCCCAACUUGAUGGACAACUGGGACGAUGCAGAGGGCUACUAUCGUGUUCGUAUCAGCGAGACCCUGGACAAGCGGUACAAUGUGUACGGCUACACUGGCCAGGGGGUGUUCAGUAAUGUGGUGAGGGGCCGUGAUGCUGCCCGCGGGACCCAGGAUGUUGCCAUCAAGAUCAUCCGAAACAAUGAGAUGAUGCACAAGACCGGCUUGAAAGAGCUUGAGUUUCUGAGGAAACUGAACGAUGCCGACCCCGAUGACAAAUUCCACUGUCUCCGACUGUAUCGACACUUCUUCCACAAGAACCAUCUUUGUCUUGUGUUUGAAUCUCUCAGCAUGAACCUGCGUGAGGUUCUCAAGAAGUAUGGCAAGGACAUCGGCCUGCACAUCAAGGCGGUGCGCUCCUACAGCCAACAACUCUUCCUGGCUCUCAAGUUGCUCAAGAGAUGCAGCAUUCUGCAUGCUGAUAUUAAGCCCGACAACAUCUUGGUAAAUGAAUCCAAACUAGUGCUGAAAUUGUGUGACUUCGGCUCAGCUUCUCACGUGUCCGAGAAUGACAUCACGCCAUACCUCGUCAGUCGGUUCUACAGAGCUCCAGAGAUCAUCAUCGGCAUGGGUUACGACCACGCCAUCGACAUGUGGUCAGUAGGCUGCACCAUCUACGAGCUGUACACAGGCAAGAUCUUAUUCCCGGGCAACUCCAACAAUGAGAUGCUCAAGUUUGUCAUGGACGUGAAAGGUAAAAUGCCCAAUAAGAUGAUUCGCAAGGGCAUGUUUAAGGAACAGCACUUCGACGGCAACUACAACUUCCUGUACCACGAGGUGGAUAAAGUCACACAGAGGGAGAAGGUCACCGUGCUGAGCAAUAUCAACCCUAACAAGGACCUAUUGGCGGAGAUGGUUGGAUACCAGAGGCUACCGGACGACCAGCUGCGCAAAGUUGCUCAACUCAAAGACUUGUUGGAACGGACAAUAAUGCUUGAUCCCUCCAAGAGGUUAUCAAUAAACCAAGCGCUCACCCAUCACUUCAUUCAGGAAAAGCUGUAGAUUUCCUGUGACAACGCAAACCAAAAACAUAGACUGAUUUUUUACAGGAACUUUAUCAUUGAACCAGCUUUUGUUUUUGUAUGUACAUAUAUUGUAGGAUUGUAUUGGCUUUGAUUUUGUUGCUAAAAGUUGGUUAAUUUUAUAACACUUUGAGUUAAGUAAUGUUUAACUAUUGGGAUUUAAAUGACGUUGUCAAGAAAUAUCCUGAGUUCUGUAACUUGCAAGAACGUCUGAUGUUGACAUGCUACAUGAUGGUACAAAGUUUUGACAAGUGAAUCAGAUCGACCCCAAUGGGCCUCUCAAUCUGGUAGAUUACGUUUUUCUUUUUAUGGGGUAAAUGAUUUUGAAAAGGCAACAAUUAAUGUAUGUUUUUGCCCAGAUGUUGGAACGUGCAGUAUUGGUAUAUAUACAUUUUGUUUGUCCAUAUGAACAUAGAGCUCUGUUUGAAUAUGGUGUUCUUAUUUAAUCCGCCUUUGUUUCAGAUGUUUGCAGUGGAUGGUUAGGGUUGUGUUAUGCCACCAUCCCUGUCUGAUAAGUGAACAGCCAGAUAAGUGGAUUUCCUUUAUCCAGUCAAUCUGUACGGUAGAAAUAGGAUCUGAAGCUUCUCUACGUUUACAUGUUAUUGUCAUAUGCACUGGUUUGUAACAGGGCUGUAUUUUCCUCCCUUGUGUUUUUAUAGUUUUGACAUAUUUUUAAAGAACACCAUUUUGACAUACAAUCAUAGAGCAGCUCUUGGCAGGGUAUGUUGAAACACGUCCAAGUUAGAAUAUAGAAUAAUUCUGAAAGGGAAACUUUUGUUGAACAGGUUGAAAGCUGUAAUUAAAAUUCAGUCCAGCUGUUUGUAAUGUCGAGCAAAUAUUUCUGUUUUCUCAAAGUUAUCUUAAUCAUACAACACAUAAGACUGAGAAAGCUAUUUGGGGAUUUUGGGACAUCUGCGUAUCAAUUACCAAUUUGAAACCACAUGGAAUUACAGCGAAUAAGUUAGAAUGGGUUUUGAUUAUUUAUUUAAUGAUCAAGCAGAUAUUGGAAUAUGUAACUACAUUAAAAGUAGUUUGUGCUUGGUGACCUCAUUUCCGUAUUUAUUGGAUGUUGACACCAAGUUUAUCAGAUUAGGUCGAUAACACUUUCCAUAAUGAUGAUAGGCAGUAAGCAUCUGUGGACAAUGUUUUAAUACUCACCUACAAAAGAAACACGAAUACCAUACAUGUUGGUUAAUAUAUGAUGAAUUACUCAUAUUCAAGAGAUAUUAGAUUUGUUCAACGUACAAAUGAAUAUACUGUUAUGUUGUGUGAACCGAUGCUCAUGAAAGCAUCAUGUGACGUCAUAGAUCCAUAACUUGAGAUGCACUAUUUCUCUCGUGCAGGAUUAGCGUGUAAAUUUUGGAAAUCACUUGUGGCACAUCGUGAUAAGAAUAAAGACACUCUGUGGUAACAGAGUUGUUAGUUUGGUCAUCAAGUGGUACACACUGGAAACAUCUAUUCAUAACGUACAAACUUCUCUAUAUGUUUCUAUGGUUCGUGUUUCUUUUGGUGGUGAGUAUAGAAAGGUAGAACAUACUUUUGGUGGAAACAUGACUUAUCGCAUAUCAUGCAUUAUUGGACCACUUAUUUCAAUGGUUCGUAGGUUAUCCUUUCAGAGAUGACUUCUGGUAGGAUUUCAGUUUUUGAGUUUUACAGUAUUUUAUUUGUUUUUGACUGCAGAAGCAGUAAGAGCAGCCAUACAUAGGAGACGGUUUGUGGGAACUGUUGUUCAGCCGGUUCCUUUUUAAAGCAUGAAUGUCUGACACAGAGGUUCACACUGAUAUAUCAUGUAUUUUUUGUUAUAUUUGCAAGGAAAAUGGGUCCAUAUUUUGCUGAUUAUGAAGUUAAAUUUUUUUUUUUUUAUAAAAUGAACCCCCAAUAUAAACAAUUGAUCAGCCCUAAAAUGAAACGGCCCGGACUAAUUCAUACUUGCUUUAUUGAUUUUACUUGCCUUAACCGAUAUUCCAUGAUCAGAAUUCCAAUCUCACUUUCAGAAAAAAAUAUCUGUCAUUUGAAUCAUUACGUAAGAUGAGCAACCAGUUUUUCAAAGCCUUGAAAAUACAAUUUUUUAAAAUAAAAAUAAACUAUUAAGAAGCUGAGGUUUGAAAAGAGCAUGCACUAUUUUAACUUUUGUACUUUUUGAAACAUUUGCAGGAUUAUCCGUGAAAGGAGGGGGGAAAUAGUUUGGCUUUUGUACAUAUUUUCCAUGGACAUUGUGAUACAUCAUCAAUAGAAACACAAAUGUAUCCUUAAAAGAUUGUGUAUUCCCUUCUGUGACACACAUGUAACUAUGGAUACCAUAGUGAUGUUCUGCAUGUAAUCAUGGUUACCAUGGUGACUGUAUGAAUGUUUGUUUCUUUAUACAGGACCUACCAUCUCUGGAUGAUUUGUCAAUUAAAGACUUAAGCUGCUUUCAUAAAGUGGUAAUAAUUUUGUUUUUAUGUUUUUUCUUGCCUUGUGACACUUCCUCUGAUAUUCAUGUUGACUUUAGGAGGAAAUGGUACCUUUGUUUAACACUAAGAUGCUCUGCAUCCAAACAGUUCAAUAAGUGGUGCAAGGCAAGUCAUUCUUGUUGCUGUCUGUGACAAAAUGACAAAUCUCACAUUUGCAGAGACAUCGUUAAAUAUGUGUUCUGACUUUGUAAAUGUGAAUGAAUAUAAGUUUUUGAAAGGUUUGAAUUUGUAAUGUAUAAUAAAUACAGUGGAAUCAUGGGAUUUACCUUCAUUCCUAUUUUGUAGUCCAUAUAUCAUUAGGCCUUAUGUUAUUGUCAGUUGGUUUACAAGGCCUGUCAAUAAGAAAAACCGGACAUUGGAAGGAAAAUAAAAUGACUUCUGACAAACAAAUUUUAGGCCAACUGUUUUACAAGUAGGUGAAAUGAAAAAACCCACCAGAUUUCAUCACCUCAUUUUGUAAGAAAUGGUGAAUAUGUAUAAAAAUCUUUAUUCUAACAAAAAAAACACUAUUGUCUUUUGGUAUCGUUUUGUAACUGUAGUUUUAAUGGUGUGACCUGUUAGUCUGGGUCUUUUUUACUAAUAGCAAUGCUUAUCUGGAAGUUUGAAUUAAAAAAAACAUAUUCGACCACAUGUACAUUGAAGUUUCGGCCAAAAUAAUUGUAAACCAACUAGUAAAUGAUGAAAGGCCUAACAGACUUACCUGGAAGUUCUUAGAACUAAAUUCUAAUUGUUUUGAUUUCCUUUCGUUACCACUGCAUUGGCGGAGAUUGACCCCUGACAGGAUGAGUGUCAAGGUCAUCAGUCAACCAAUCACAGAACUCGAUACAGUUGGGGAGCUGAGGAAGUCUUCAGUUUUGAGUAAUGAUAAGUAGUGCCCGAUAUUUACUACCGUGAGUGACGUUUGAGAUGCCUGUUGUCACAAUAGGUGAUAAAUGUACCACUGUGUGUAUUGCAUAGAAUGAAGCGUUCACUGCCCUAGUUAUGGGGUUAAACUGUACUUAUCAAGUGUCAAUAAUUCUUGUAAUAUAUUUAAAACAUAUUUAAUUAAUUUGACAAAUAUUCAAAAAUAGUUUUCAAAGUGACUUUUUUAUAUUCACACAUCUAAUAAUCAGCUGGUAACCAAAAACUGAAAACUGUAUUUUGUGUUCAAAAGAAUGUUGAUCUUUACUAUCAAAUCUGACUUGCCAAAUGUUAAACAUUUGAGGAAAUUGUAAAAUAUUGUGAACGCUCUUGUAACCUUGUUCAUCUUCACACAGGGGCGGUCGGGUAGCAUAGUGGUUAAAGCGUUCGCUCGUCACGCCGAAGACCCGGGUUCGAUUCCCGACAUGGGUACAAUGUGUGAAGCCCAUUUCUGGUGUCCCCCGCCGUGAUAUUGCUGGAAUAUUGCUAAAAGCGGCGUAAAACCAUACUCACUCACUCAUCUUCACACAUUUAUUUGUCUGCACCACAGGGCGGUACUCACAUGUAUUUAUUGGACAAGUAACAAAACACUAGAUGAGUCCUUGGUUUCUGAAAGAUAUCCCGACUCAAUUCUGACACCUACUGAGGUUUGCUACAGUAUUCAAGAUAGAUGUAGCAUUUACUAGUUGCUCUUGACUACUCCAUGGGAAGAUCAGCUAUAUUAUUCGGGAUAGAUGCAGCAUUUACUAGUUAUUCUUGACUAGUCCAUGGAUAGAUGUAGCAUUUACUAGUUAUUCUUGACUAGUCCAUGGAUAGGUGCAGCAUUUACUAGUUAUUCUUGACUAGUCCAUGGAUAGAUGCAGCAUUUACUAGUUAUUCUUGACUAGUCCAUGGAUAGGUGCAGCAUUUACUAGUUAUUCUUGACUAGUCCAUGGAUAGAUGCAGCAUUUACUAGUUAUUCUUGACUAGUCCAUGGAUAGAUGCAGCAUUUACUAGUAAUUCUUGACUAGUCUAUGGUAAAGCUUGCUACCAUAUUUCUGAUAUAGCCAUUACCUGUUAAUGUUGACUAGUCUAUGGGAGGAUCAGCUACAGGGAUUUGAACCAAAUAGUGUCUUGCUAAGUGACCAAUCUGGCCCAAUGUGAAGACACAGUACAGUCAAUGAGGAACGUUUGUAAAAGGCAGACUUUGGAUCGACUACUUAUGACAAAGGUUUUGACAAGCUCUUAAGUCCUUAUUGCAGAUUAUACUACAGCCCGGGGACCUGCUUUUCACUCAUUGUAUUCCACCGAAAAUGUACUAAACAAAUUAUUUUCAUUUCUAGGUACAGUCUUGGAGGAGGCAGCGGUGGAGCUCUUUAUAAGGUAGGCCACUUUUCUUUCUUCAUUACAUACAAUGAUUCUUCAAUCAAGUUCCAUCACUGUUGGCCAUGUUGGGCAUCAUGUGAUCCUAUAAUCAGCCAAUGAGCAUAUGGGUGUCUGUCAUGUGACCAGGAAGUGUCAGGUGUCAUGUGAUUUCAACAUCAACAAGUAAGGAUGAGAUGCUUCUUCAUUGUGUCAGCUUCCACCAGCCUGGUGGGAGGAGUCAGCUGUCAUGUGACCAGCCAGCCAACCAAUGAGUCCAAAGAAGACAAUGAAACUGUUCAAGUUGUAUAUCAUUUGAGGUUCUGGUUACUAUAUUACGUUAGCUGCCGUUUGUAACAUUUUGUACAUUGAAUUGUUUAUGGCCUGCCAAUAAUUAGGUCAUAUCAACACCAUAUCAGUUUGUUUGUAGCCAGGCUACCUUUCUGUAAGUUUCAAAAUGAAUGUUGAUAUUAAUUUCAAUGACUUGUAUUUUUGCUGUGUAGAAAAAUGUAUGAAAUAAAUUUGCUGGUAUGGUA
Molecule: unclassified non-coding RNA, 7931 nt
Filed under: Haliotis rufescens (red abalone)
Lineage: Eukaryota; Metazoa; Mollusca; Gastropoda; Lepetellida; Haliotidae
Description: serine/threonine-protein kinase PRP4 homolog, transcript variant X1
Rfam family: tRNA (bases 6415-6486)
Source: RNAcentral